RNAcentral lists this ribosomal RNA (576 nucleotides) under uncultured Pseudomonadota bacterium. RNAcentral describes it as "bacterial SSU rRNA". It matches the Rfam family "Bacterial small subunit ribosomal RNA", at positions 560 to 1142 of the family's 1533-position model. The record is from RNAcentral. Lineage: Bacteria; Pseudomonadati; Pseudomonadota.
GUAAAGCGUGCGUAGGCGGCUAUGCAAGUCAGAUGUGAAAGCCCCAGGCUCAACCUGGGAAUUGCGUUUGAAACUGUGUGGCUAGAGUUCGACAGAGGAAGAUAGAAUUCCAUGUGUAGCGGUGAAAUGCGUAGAUAUAUGGAAGAAUACUAAUGGCGAAGGCAUUCUUCUGGGUCGACACUGACGCUGAGUCACUAAAGCGUGGGGAGCAAACAGGAUUAGAUACCCUGGUAGUCCACGCCCUAAACGAUGUCCGCUAGCUAUCGGGGUUUAGCCUCGGUGGCGAAGCUAACGCGUUAAGCGGACCGCCUGGGGAGUACGAUCGCAAGAUUAAAACUCAAAGGAAUUGACGGGGACCCGCACAAGCGGUGGAUGAUGUGGUUUAAUUCGAUGCAACGCGAAAAACCUUACCUACCCUUGACAUGUCCGGAAUCCUGUAGAGAUACAGGAGUGCCUUCGGGAACCCGAACACAGGUGUUGCAUGGCUGCGUCAGCUCGUGUCGUGAGAUGUUGGGUUAAGUUCCGCAACGAGCGCAACCCUUGUCGUUAGUUGCCAGCAUUAAGUUGGGUACUUUA